AUUGAACGCUGGCGGCGUGCCUAACACAUGCAAGUCGAGCGGUAACAGGUGUAGCAAUACAUGCUGACGAGCGGCGGACGGGUGAGUAACGCUUGGGAAUCUGCCUGUUAGUGGGGGACAACCCGGGGAAACUCGGGCUAAUACCGCAUACGCACUACGGUGGAAAGCCGGGGACCGCAAGGCCUGGCGCUAACAGAUGAGCCCAAGUCGGAUUAGCUAGUUGGUAGGGUAACGGCCACCAAGGCGACGGUCCGUAACUGGUCUGAGAGGACGACCAGUCACACCGGAACUGAGACACGGUCCGGACUCCUACGGGAGGCAGCAGUGGGGAAUAUUGGACAAUGGGCGAAAGCCUGAUCCAGCGACGCCGCGUGGGUGAAGAAGGCCUGCGGGUUGUAAAGCCCUUUCGGUGGGGAAGAAAAGCCUCGAGCUAACAUCUCGGGGUCUUGACGUAACCCAUAGAAGAAGCACCGGCUAACUCUGUGCCAGCCGCCGCAGUAAU
RNAcentral lists this ribosomal RNA (502 nucleotides) under uncultured bacterium. RNAcentral's name for it is "bacterial SSU rRNA". It matches the Rfam family "Bacterial small subunit ribosomal RNA", at positions 29 to 524 of the family's 1533-position model. The record is from RNAcentral.